CCCACUGAGGUAAAAUGGGCAACAUGGUUUCAGCUAAAAUGGGCCAUCAUCUGUGUCACUCACAAACACACAUACACGUGUUUGAGUGUGUGUGUGUGUGUGUGUGUGUGUGUACGUACGUGCGUACACACACACACACACACACACACACACACACACGCACCAUGACCCCCCCCCAACAGUAAUAAUGGUAGUAGAUAUUUCAUUUACAGUGAGUAUGGCAAACGAGAAGGAAGCGAGAGGAGAGGAGAGAGGGAGAAGGAAAGAGAGAGGAAGAGAGAGAGAAGGGGGGAGGGUGUUUCUCAUUAGCACCAUUGUGUUCUGUAGUGACCGAUCGCAGCCUAAUCAAUCAAGAGUCCAAAGAGAGACGGGCGGGACGGAGCGGAGUGGGAGCGAUGAAGAGUCAGUCUGUCUCCCAGAGCUCUGCCGGUCGCCUGGGUAAUUCCACAUUUCAUUGUCUGAAUCGCGGUUCUCAGGAAAAUACGUAUCCAUGCUGGAAUUA
Molecule: long non-coding RNA, 502 nt
Organism: Sander lucioperca (pikeperch)
Lineage: Eukaryota; Metazoa; Chordata; Actinopteri; Perciformes; Percidae
Exons: 2
Source: RefSeq, a predicted model, not a curated record